UGGGGAAUAUUGCGCAAUGGGGGAAACCCUGACGCAGCAACGCCGCGUGAAUGAUGAAGGCCUUCGGGUUGUAAAGUUCUGUCUUAUGGGACGAUAAUGACGGUACCAGAGGAGGAAGCCACGGCCAACUACGUG
This 135-nucleotide ribosomal RNA is filed under the name uncultured Clostridium sp. Its description in RNAcentral is "partial 16S ribosomal RNA". It matches the Rfam family "Bacterial small subunit ribosomal RNA", at positions 355 to 507 of the family's 1533-position model. Lineage: Bacteria; Bacillati; Bacillota; Clostridia; Eubacteriales; Clostridiaceae. The record is from RNAcentral.